This 73-nucleotide transfer RNA is filed under the name Bacteroidota bacterium. RNAcentral describes it as "Bacteroidetes bacterium tRNA-Val". It matches the Rfam family "tRNA". Rfam says of the family: Transfer RNA (tRNA) molecules are approximately 80 nucleotides in length. Their secondary structure includes four short double-helical elements and three loops (D, anti-codon, and T loops). The record is from RNAcentral. Lineage: Bacteria; Pseudomonadati; Bacteroidota.
GGGCGUUAGCUCAGGGGUUUAGAGCGCCUGCUUCACACGCAGGAGGUCGGUGGUUCGAAUCCAUCACGCCCCA